This 1826-nucleotide unclassified non-coding RNA is filed under the name Hevea brasiliensis (rubber tree). Lineage: Eukaryota; Viridiplantae; Streptophyta; Magnoliopsida; Malpighiales; Euphorbiaceae. The record is from RNAcentral.
GAACUCUCGAAAUUUUGCCUUACUCAAUUUUAUAAGCCCUAGCUGCAUUGCGUUCUGUCUGUCUUCUACGCGACGCCUUUUCUGAUGAGAAUCCAACGGCCAGGAGUAAACUGUCAUAAGAGUAUCGCCGCCCUCCAGGUGAAAGCGACGUGAUAAAACCGGAAAUAAGAUAAAAGUGGAGGCUAUUUUGGCAAAUAAAAGCCCAAAUCUUCUGGUCUCUUCCAUCCUUCUCCGGAGAUCGGCGAUUACUUCCCACCGAGAUUUCUCUCCAAUUUCCCCUCUCAAUCUCUCCUUGCUUAGCACACAAUUAUCUGAACUGUGAAGGAAUUCUCCAUGCAAUUUUAAGCUUGGUUCAGGUGCUUUGCAUUGAUUUCUUGUCUUAAACCAUUGAUAUAGUGAAUACUUUUGGUGAAAAUGGAUCUGAAUCCCAUUAAGGAUGCAUUUGAUCAUGUUUCAAAGAAGCAAAAGCUGUCCAGUUCUAAAGCUCAAGAAGUGAUUGACCAGAUCAUGCAAGAAAUUGAAAAGGCGGUGGAAAUAAUACAGUCUGGACAAUCUGGCUCUGAAUUUGAAUAUAAAUCUGUUCUUGGUGAGCUUAAUAAAAAGCUGCAGGAAAUUUCUCCUAUCAGUCAGCUGGAAGGCACACAGAAGGAACUGAAUAUAGCGCUGAGCAAGUACCCAAAGCAACUGGAGAAAUCUUUCAACCCAGACAUCUCCAAGGCAUACAGAAACAUUGACUUUGAUAUCCACACUGUCAACCAGAUAAUUGGAAGCCAUUUCUACCGACUUGGCUUAUUUAGUAUCGGUGACUGCUUCAUAAAUGAGGCCAAGGAACCAGAAUCUACUGUUGCUAUGAGAUCCAUGUUCUCAGAAAUGUAUCUAAUAGUAGAAGCUAUGAAGGAUCGAAACCUAAUACCUGCAUUAAAGUGGGCUGCUGCCAACUCUGAUAAGCUUAAAGAAAAUGGUUCAGACCUUGAGCUGAAACUUCAUCGUUUGCAGUUUGUGGAAAUACUGCAACAUGGAAGUAGAGGUGAAGCUCUUACGUAUGCCAGAACUCAUUUUGCUCCUUUUGCAUCCAAUCAUUUGGGUGAAAUUCAGAAGCUCAUGGCCUGCCUCUUGUGGACUGGAAAGCUUGAUCGCUCCCCAUACUCUGAAUUACUGUCUGCUGCUAAUUGGAACACAGUGGCUGACGAGCUAACUAGGCAAUUCUGCAAUCUUCUGGGGCAGUCUUUUGAAAGCCCAUUGAGUGUGACAAUAGCAGCAGGGUUUCAAGGUUUACCACCUCUUCUGAAGUUUAUGAAUGUAAUGGCAGGCAAGAAACAGGAGUGGCAGUCGAUGAAGCAGUUGCCAGUGCCUGUGGAGCUGGAUAAAGAAUUUCAGUUCCAUUCCAUCUUUGUGUGCCCAGUGUCUAAGGAGCAAUCGACUGAUGAUAAUCCCCCAAUGUUGAUGCCCUGUGGUCAUGUGCUGUGCAAACAAUCUAUCAAUAAGAUGUCAAAGAACAGUUCCAAAACCUUCAAGUGCCCGUACUGUCCUGAUAAUAUCGAUGCAACAAAGUGUACGCAGCUGUAUUUCUGAUUUGUACUCCCACGUGUACAUUGAAAUGUAUCAAACUCUCGCUCUCUCUCUCUCUUUAAUGUUUGAAAAUUGUGUAGAAACUGGUGGUGGUAUGUUGUGUAGCCAAGGGCAUGUGGACAGUGGCAAGCUGGUCUAUCGUGUACUGUUUGUUGAUGCAUUUGUUGUAAAUAGACAUUCUUUUCACAUUUAUGUUGGGAAUGGAAAACUAGUUCCAGGACACUUCUGAAGUUACUUCUUGUGCCUAGAAGUUAGUG